UCCUCCUCUGUCCAAAUCUCUUAUCUUUUUUUGUUUGAUUUUUUUAUAAUAUCUUAGGCCAUAAUAUUAUCAAACUUUGUUGCAUUUUAUCGAAUUAGAUUUGAUAUUAGUAUUUUACUUGUAGUUUUUAUAACUAUUUCACAUAUAACCUUGAUGACAGAACACUAGUACUAUUUAUAAUCAAAAUUAUCAGAGCUUUUCCAGCAUUUAUGACCUAGAUCUCGUAAUUUGCGUUGUCUUGGUUAGGACAUGAUUCAACGCCCAUCACAUGCCAAGGGGUCAAGAUCCAUUCAGAUGGAACUGUCUUCUUAUUUUUUAUGUAUUGGUUUAUUUAUUUUAUACUCCCUCCGCAGCACUAGAUCAUUUUACACGCUCAAACUUCAUUUUCUUCUUGCAUCAUUUCCCUAAUUUAAGGUUAGUCGUCUCAACUUGAAUGAAAUACACAUAACUUUGACAUAUGUAUUUUCAUAUACUGUAUAUAUAUAUAUAUAUAUUAAUAUGUUUUCGAAAAAUCCUAGUACAUAAAGUGUAUGUAGUGUGUGUCUUUUCGCGAAUAGUAUCUGGACUCGAAUUCAGUGGAAUGCAAGUGUGUAAAGAUAGAUCAUAACCUUUUUCUUAGUUUUCAUUUUCAUUUAGAUCUGUAUGAUAUUUUAUUUUUGUAAUUUUCUCAAUGUCUUAUACUCUUUAUACUAUUAUUGUUUAAAUUUUCUAACUGUUGCUCGGAAUAAGUUUUAAACUGCAACUGUUUUCAAUUAUACUUCAAGAGUUAUUUAACUUUUGACUGACAAGAUCUUUUGAAUUCUCAGGCCUUGAAAAGCAAUGCUAUUUUGUCUUUAGCAUAAAAGACGAAGUAAGAACAGUAUCUUGUCUCUAAUGUAUCAUUGACAUGUUAGUUUAGGUUCAUGUUGAUACAUUGUAAACACACAACUUAAGCAAAGAUGGUAGAUGAUGCAUCCAGUAGUAAAAAUCUAUUUGUUUGAUUUUUUUAUAAUAUCUUAGGCCAUAAUAUUAUCAAACUUUGUUGCAUUUUAUCGAAUUAGAUUUGAUAUUAGUAUUUUACUUGUAGUUUUUAUAACUAUUUCACAUAUAACCUUGAUGACAGAACACUAGUACUAUUUAUAAUCAAAAUUAUCAGAGCUUUUCCAGCAUUUAUGACCUAGAUCUCGUAAUUUGCGUUGUCUUGGUUAGGACAUGAUUCAACGCCCAUCACAUGCCAAGGGGUCAAGAUCCAUUCAGAUGGAACUGUCUUCUUAUUUUUUAUGUAUUGGUUUAUUUAUUUUAUACUCCCUCCGCAGCACUAGAUCAUUUUACACGCUCAAACUUCAUUUUCUUCUUGCAUCAUUUCCCUAAUUUAAGGUUAGUCGUCUCAACUUGAAUGAAAU
Molecule: long non-coding RNA, 1382 nt
Filed under: Brassica napus (rape)
Lineage: Eukaryota; Viridiplantae; Streptophyta; Magnoliopsida; Brassicales; Brassicaceae
Description: long non-coding RNA (BNAP_LNC002494)
Source: RNAcentral